UGUCAAGGGAUGGGAAUAUAACCCACAGUGUUCUGCCUCCCAGGCAGAUGCCAUGUCCACUAGGCUACCCUGGAC
RNAcentral lists this transfer RNA (75 nucleotides) under Cordylochernes scorpioides. RNAcentral's name for it is "tRNA-Pro". The record is from RNAcentral. Lineage: Eukaryota; Metazoa; Arthropoda; Arachnida; Pseudoscorpiones; Chernetidae.